AGUGAACGCUGGCGGCGUGCUUAACACAUGCAAGUCGAACGAGAACGGAUUAUAGCUUGCUAUAAUUGUCAGCUAAGUGGCGCACGGGUGAGUAAUGUAUAGGUAAUAUGCCUCUUACUAAGGGAUAACAAUUGGAAACGAUUGCUAAUACCUUAUACUCCUUAUUAACCUAAGUUAAUAAGGGAAAGAUUUAUUGGUAAGAGAUUAGCCUGUAUUGUAUCAGUUAGUUGGUGGGGUAAUGGCCUACCAAGACUAUGACACAUAACUGGUUUGAGAGGAUGAUCAGUCACACUGGAACUGAGACACGGUCCAGACUCCUACGGGAGGCAGCAGUGGGGAAUAUUGCACAAUGGACGAAAGUCUGAUGCAGCAACGCCGCGUGGAGGAUGACACAUUUCGGUGCGUAAACUCCUUUUAUAUGAGAAGAUAAUGACGGUAUUAUAUGAAUAAGCACCGGCUAACUCCGUGCCAGCAGCCGCGGUAAAG
RNAcentral lists this ribosomal RNA (486 nucleotides) under uncultured bacterium. RNAcentral's name for it is "bacterial SSU rRNA". It matches the Rfam family "Bacterial small subunit ribosomal RNA", at positions 29 to 525 of the family's 1533-position model. The record is from RNAcentral.